RNAcentral lists this ribosomal RNA (469 nucleotides) under uncultured bacterium. RNAcentral describes it as "partial 16S ribosomal RNA". It matches the Rfam family "Bacterial small subunit ribosomal RNA", at positions 28 to 508 of the family's 1533-position model. The record is from RNAcentral.
GACGAACGCUGGCGGCGCGCCUAACACAUGCAAGUCGAACGGAGCUGAGAGAAGCUUGCUUUUCUUAGCUUAGUGGCGAACGGGUGAGUAACGCGUGAGUAACCUGCCCUGGAGUGGGGGACAACAGUUGGAAACGACUGCUAAUACCGCAUAAGCCCACGAUCCGGCAUCGGAUUGAGGGAAAAGGAUUUAUUCGCUUCAGGAUGGACUCGCGUCCAAUUAGCUAGUUGGUGAGGUAACGGCCCACCAAGGCGACGAUUGGUAGCCGGACUGAGAGGUUGAACGGCCACAUUGGGACUGAGACACGGCCCAGACUCCUACGGGAGGCAGCAGUGGGGGAUAUUGCACAAUGGGGGAAACCCUGAUGCAGCGACGCCGCGUGGAGGAAGAAGGUUUUCGGAUUGUAAACUCCUGUCGUUAGGGACGAUAAUGACGGUACCUAACAAGAAAGCACCGGCUAACUACGUGC